AUGUGUGGGGGUUUGGGUAUCCAGAAGAGGCAGAGGAGAUCUUUCCCUUCCAUGACCCUUCCUGAGUCGGUCAGAGGCUGGCAGUCGACCUGGUUCUACUGCCAGGACCUCGCAACUCUAGGCCAGUCGACUAGACUUCCCCAUUUCACCUUUGAUCGUGUUCAGACUCCUUCCUCGCUGAAAGUGACUACUGCUGAGAGUGUGGAAACAAACAUGCUAGUUGAGAGGGUGGUUCAAUUGAUCAAUCAAGGCGUCACUGGCAUGGAUUUGCUGGAGGUAUUCCUCAGUCGACGCAUCCAGCUGCUCCAGGCUCGUGACCACCCUAUGUGGAUGUAUUCUGGAGCCAACAACACCGCUCGGGUUCAUCUAGAGGAAGUACCGGCUAAGACAGUGGCCCCGUGGUUGAGGAGUAUUACAGGAAACAAGGACAACCCAGAGGCGCCAGGAAAUUCGACCCCUUUAGUGACAGCAACCAGCCAGACAAGGUUUAUACUGAGAUGUACUCGAUGCCCAAUGGUGAAAAGGCUCUGGAGAAAGACCAGGCAAGAGAAGACAACGCGGAGGAGAGCGGUGAUUGGCAAUCUCCGGACGAUGAGGAUGAAGAGGAGAGCGACGAUUAGGACGACGAAGAGAUGGUCGACUCAUCACCUCGCUCGGAACGUCGAUCCAAGCUACUCCAUGAUCCAGCGGGUGGGCGCAGCAAGACCGUGGCCCCAAGCACCCAAACGCAGAAGCGCACUCAGACUUCGACCCCGGAGCCGACGGAAGAAGUCGCCAAGCAGUCCAAGGUCGUUCCUCCAAAAGCUUGGAAGAAUCUGCCCAGGAUUAAGAUGGAUGUUCCUGUUGCCUCUGGCCCAACCUCUGCCGCGACUGAUAUGGAUGUUGACAAGGCCCCAGGAGAUGAGGAAGCCGAUGACGUGGCCACCUCCAGAGCUGCUCCACGAGACGUUGUCAUGCUUCUAG
This 963-nucleotide ribosomal RNA is filed under the name Triticum aestivum (bread wheat). RNAcentral's name for it is "partial small subunit ribosomal RNA". Lineage: Eukaryota; Viridiplantae; Streptophyta; Magnoliopsida; Poales; Poaceae. The record is from RNAcentral.